This 647-nucleotide ribosomal RNA is filed under the name uncultured Spirochaetota bacterium. RNAcentral's name for it is "bacterial SSU rRNA". It matches the Rfam family "Bacterial small subunit ribosomal RNA", at positions 14 to 635 of the family's 1533-position model. The record is from RNAcentral. Lineage: Bacteria; Pseudomonadati; Spirochaetota.
UGAUCAUGGCUCAGGACUAACGCUGGCGGCGUGCCUAACACAUGCAAGUCGAACGUGCUUUUACGCGGUAGCAAUAUAGUGUAACGGCAAGUGGCGAACGGGUGAGUAACACGUAGGUGAUCUACCUUUGAGACGGGAACAACCCAGGGAAACUUGGGCUAAUGCCUGAUAAGACCACGCGCAGGGAUGUGCGGGGCCAAAGGGGGGGCGAAAGUCUCUCGCUUGAAGAUGAGCCUGCGGCCUAUCAGCUAGUUGGUAAGGUAAAAGCUUACCAAGGCGAAGACGGGUAGCCGACCUGAGAGGGUGACCGGCCACACUGGGACUGAGACACGGCCCAGACUCCUACGGGAGGCAGCAGUGAGGAAUUUUCCGCAAUGGGCGCAAGCCUGACGGAGCGACGCCGCGUGAGGGAUGAAGGCUUUCGGGUUGUAAACCUCUUUUAAGUGAGAAAAAGGUUUGCAUGAUAAUACCAUGCAGACUUGAUGGUAUCACUGGAAUAAGCCCCGGCUAACUACGUGCCAGCAGCCGCGGUAAUACGUAGGGGGGCGAGCAUUGUCCGGAAUUACUGGGCGUAAAGGGCGUGUAGGCGGUUGGAAAAGUCUGGUGUGAAAUGCUUCAGCUUAACUGGAGCGCUGCGCCGGAAACUU